AUUGAACGCUGGCGGAAUGCUUUACACAUGCAAGUCGAACGGCAGCACGGGAGCUUGCUCCUGGUGGCGAGUGGCGAACGGGUGAGUAAUACAUCGGAACGUACCCAGUCGUGGGGGAUAACACAUCGAAAGAUGUGCUAAUACCGCAUACGACCUGAGGGUGAAAGGGGGGGAUCGCAAGACCUCUCGCGAUUGGAGCGGCCGAUGUCGGAUUAGCUAGUUGGUAGGGUAAAGGCCUACCAAGGCGACGAUCCGUAGCUGGUCUGAGAGGAUGAUCAGCCACACUGGAACUGAGACACGGUCCAGACUCCUACGGGAGGCAGCAGUGGGGAAUUUUGGACAAUGGGGGCAACCCUGAUCCAGCCAUUCCGCGUGAGUG
Molecule: ribosomal RNA, 379 nt
Filed under: uncultured bacterium
Lineage: Bacteria
Description: bacterial SSU rRNA
Rfam family: Bacterial small subunit ribosomal RNA
Source: RNAcentral